GGAGGAAAGCAGGGGAUCGCAAGACCUUGCGCUCAUUGAGCGGCCGAUGCCUGAUUAGCUAGUUGGUGAGGUAAAGGCUUACCAAGGCGACGAUCAGUAGCUGGUCUGAGAGGACGACCAGCCACACUGGGACUGAGACACGGCCCAGACUCCUACGGGAGGCAGCAGUGGGGAAUUUUGGACAAUGGGGGAAACCCUGAUCCAGCCAUGCCGCGUGAGUGAAGAAGGCCUUCGGGUUGUAAAGCUCUUUCAGCCGGAACGAAACAGUCACGGAUAAUACCCGUGACUACUGACGGUACCGGAAGAAGAAGCACCGGCUAACUACGUGCCAGCAGCCGCGGUAAUACGUAGGGUGCGAGCGUUAAUCGGAAUUACUGGGCGUAAAGCGUGCGCAGGCGGUUUUGUAAGUCAGAAGAGAAAUCCCCGGGCUUAACCUGGGAACUGCGUUUAUAAUAGAAAGCUAGAAGGGC
RNAcentral lists this ribosomal RNA (470 nucleotides) under uncultured beta proteobacterium. RNAcentral describes it as "bacterial SSU rRNA". It matches the Rfam family "Bacterial small subunit ribosomal RNA", at positions 198 to 650 of the family's 1533-position model. The record is from RNAcentral. Lineage: Bacteria; Pseudomonadati; Pseudomonadota; Betaproteobacteria.